Molecule: ribosomal RNA, 253 nt
Filed under: uncultured bacterium
Lineage: Bacteria
Description: partial 16S ribosomal RNA
Rfam family: Bacterial small subunit ribosomal RNA
Source: RNAcentral
UACGUAGGGGGCAAGCGUUGUCCGGAAUCAUUGGGCGUAAAGAGCGCGUAGGCGGCCCGAUAAGUCCGCUGUGAAAGUCAAGGGCUCAACCCUUGAAUGCCGGUGGAUACUGUCGGGCUAGAGUCCGGAAGAGGCGAGUGGAAUUCCUGGUGUAGCGGUGAAAUGCGCAGAUAUCAGGAGGAACACCAAUGGCGAAGGCAGCUCGCUGGGACGGUACUGACGCUGAGGCGCGAAAGCAUGGGGAGCGAACAGG